RNAcentral lists this transfer RNA (74 nucleotides) under Neolewinella antarctica. RNAcentral's name for it is "Lewinella antarctica tRNA-Lys". It matches the Rfam family "tRNA". From Rfam's summary of the family: Transfer RNA (tRNA) molecules are approximately 80 nucleotides in length. Their secondary structure includes four short double-helical elements and three loops (D, anti-codon, and T loops). Lineage: Bacteria; Pseudomonadati; Bacteroidota; Saprospiria; Saprospirales; Lewinellaceae. The record is from RNAcentral.
GAUUCCUUAGCUCAGCCGGUUAGAGCAUCUGACUUUUAAUCAGAGGGUCCUGGGUUCGAUCCCCAGAGGGGUCA